This 440-nucleotide ribosomal RNA is filed under the name Macrobrachium inflatum. RNAcentral describes it as "partial 16S ribosomal RNA". It matches the Rfam family "Bacterial large subunit ribosomal RNA", at positions 1926 to 2577 of the family's 2925-position model. Lineage: Eukaryota; Metazoa; Arthropoda; Malacostraca; Decapoda; Palaemonidae. The record is from RNAcentral.
CCCCACCGCGGUAAUUUGACCGUGCGAAGGUAGCAUAGUCAGUAGUCUUUUAAUUGAAGGCUUGAAUGAAAGGUUGGACGAGGGAUGAGCUGUCUCCUUUAUGUAAUUUGAAUUUAACUUUUGAGUGAAAAGGCUCAAAUUAUUUAGUGGGACGAUAAGACCCUAUAAAACUUUAUAUAAGUUUAAUUUGGCUUACAAUUUGAGUGAAAAGUAGCUUUAUUAGGCUUAUAUUUCGUUGGGGAGAUGUAGAUAUAAUGUGUAACUGUCUGUUUAAUUUAAUAAUUAUAAUUAGUGUAUGAUCCUUCUUUGUGGAUUAAAAGUAUAAGUUACUUUAGGGAUAACAGCGUGAUUUUCUUUGAGAGUUCUUAUCGACAAGAGUAGUUGCGACCUCGAUGUUGAAUUAAAAUUUCAGUUAGGUGUAGCCGUCUAGCUGGUAGCGC